AGGGACAAAAACAGUAGCAGACUGGAAAUUUACACGUCUCCAGACCAACACCCUCAUUUAUCUGUCCACAGUUGAGCUGACAGGUGAAUCUGUACAAACCCUGAGAGCAGGAUUUGAAGUCUGGAUAUCUUUCCUUCAUUUAGCUAACAAAAGGUUUUUAUUGUUCCUUUCAGAGUGAUCAAAUAGAGGAAAAGACAGCAUGUGUAACACAGGUUUACUAAACUAGGCCAUUACAGUGAAGCCUAGCUAAUCACACAUAAGCUCCCCCUAGAGGCUAAAUCUAUUUACUACCUCAGACUACAUCACCCAACUUCCACACAUAACUCCAGUUGACUUAGAAUACCCAAACACAAAAAUGCACGACUAAAACACUUAGAAACAAUACACUGAGAAAGAAAACUACAAUCCUUUUUUUUUUUUUCUCUCUCUCUCUCUCUUAGUGGAUGCAGGUGGUUUUUGUGCCCAGUACUCAGAAGGCAAAUUUCUGGAUAUGACGGGUUUAUUUAUCAUGGCCGAGGAGGCCGCCUUUGACCAUGUGUGAAAAGACUCCCUGGAACCUGGGCUUUUUUCUGUUAAUUUAUUUAUAAAUGUCUGGUGAAUCUGCUGGACUCAAUUGAACUUCACCUGCUGGCUAAGGGGGCGGAGACUAUAAAUAGUCUGCUCCCCUGGCAGUUCACCUUUUUCCACUCCCUGCCAGUACUCCACCAUAUCCUGAAGUGUGCGUAUUCCAGUUAAUGUGGGUGGUCAAUUCAAUUCAUCCUUUUGCUUGUUUAAUUUGUAUGCCUUUUGUGAUGCCUUUUUGUGACAUGUGCUAUGUUGACCAAUUCCUUUGUUCUCAAACAUGUGCCAGGAGCCAUGUAGAAUUGUUUGUUGUUUGAUUGACCACUCCGUUAUUUAAUUUAAUUGUAUUAUUUCUUUGUUUAUGUUUUUGAUGCAGCACACAGAAUAAAUAUCAAGCUUACAAAAAGGAAAUAAAACUGCUGGUGUUACAUCCAACCUGCCUUCUCCCUUGCAUCAUUUUCUCACUCCACUCCUUGCCGUUCGGGUCUUCUGACCGAGACUCUGUCUGCUCACCCAACAUUCACUCCCCCCAAACCACAUCACCCUUACAGUUCCUUCAAUGUGGAGAAGAUUGAGCUUCCGGUAUCUUUCGAGCUGUAUGAUGAGGAUGGCGAUCAUAGGCUUAAGCUGAUAGAGUGUGAAUGGCUGGUCAAAAACAUCACCAUGAACCGACCAUUGUAAGCGUGCAUUAAUAAAAUACACAAAGAUGAA
Molecule: long non-coding RNA, 1272 nt
Organism: Clupea harengus (Atlantic herring)
Lineage: Eukaryota; Metazoa; Chordata; Actinopteri; Clupeiformes; Clupeidae
Exons: 2
Source: RefSeq, a predicted model, not a curated record